CACCGCGGUUAUACGAGAGGCCCUAGUUGAUAGCCCCCGGCGUAAAGGGUGGUUAAGAUUUGUUUAUAAUUAAAGCCGAAAACCCUCAAAGCAGUUAUACGCAUCCGAGGGUAAGAAGCCCGAUUACGAAAGUGGCUUUAUUACUUCUGACUCCACGAAAGCUAAGGAA
This 169-nucleotide ribosomal RNA is filed under the name Paralabrax maculatofasciatus (spotted sand bass). RNAcentral describes it as "partial small subunit ribosomal RNA". Lineage: Eukaryota; Metazoa; Chordata; Actinopteri; Perciformes; Serranidae. The record is from RNAcentral.